GAUGAAGAACGUAGCGAAAUGCGAUAAGUAGUGUGAAUUGCAGAAUUCAGUGAAUCAUCGAACCUUUGAACGCACAUUGCGCCUUCUAGUAUUCUGGGAGGCAUGCCUGUUUGAGCGUCAUUAAACCUCUCUCAAGUAUGAUUACUUGGAUGUGAAGGAAGAGUACCUUAAACUUAAGGAGUGUUCUCCUUUGAAAUUGAUUAGCAGAUGGUAAUGUUAUUAAAUCCCUGAUGUUGUAAGAAAUAACAGUGGUUUUGUAGACUAUUAUCUAGCUUUAAAUUAUAAUUUUAUUAUGGUUGACCUCAAAUCAGGUAAGGAUACCCGCUGAACUUAAGCAUAUCAAUAAGCGGAGGA
This 354-nucleotide unclassified non-coding RNA is filed under the name soil metagenome. RNAcentral's name for it is "partial contains 5.8S ribosomal RNA, internal transcribed spacer 2, and large subunit ribosomal RNA". The stretch from base 1 to 120 matches the Rfam family "5.8S ribosomal RNA", at positions 35 to 154 of the family's 154-position model. The record is from RNAcentral.